RNAcentral lists this ribosomal RNA (253 nucleotides) under uncultured bacterium. RNAcentral describes it as "partial 16S ribosomal RNA". It matches the Rfam family "Bacterial small subunit ribosomal RNA", at positions 524 to 776 of the family's 1533-position model. The record is from RNAcentral.
UACAGAGGUCUCAAGCGUUGUUCGGAUUCAUUGGGCGUAAAGGGUGCGUAGGCGGCGCGGUAAGUCGGGUGUGAAAUCUCGGAGCUUAACUUCGAAACUGCAUUCGAUACUGCCGUGCUUGAGGACUGGAGAGGAGACUGGAAUUUACGGUGUAGCGGUGAAAUGCGUAGAUAUCGUAAGGAAGACCAGUGGCGAAGGCGGGUCUCUGGACAGUACCUGACGCUGAGGCACGAAGGUCAGGGGAGCAAACGGG